CCUGGCGGCACUAGCGCGGUGGUCCCACCUGACCCCAUGCCGAACUCAGAAGUGAAACGCCGUAGCGCCGAUGGUAGUGUAGGGUCUCCCCAUGCGAGAGUAGGGAACUGCCAGGC
Molecule: ribosomal RNA, 116 nt
Filed under: Salmonella enterica
Lineage: Bacteria; Pseudomonadati; Pseudomonadota; Gammaproteobacteria; Enterobacterales; Enterobacteriaceae
Also listed under: 7 other names
Source: RNAcentral